AGAAAGGAAAUUUUGAAAGGAAGAAUUCCCUAUUUUUUCUUUGUAUGGGCACACGCACCCGAAGGAACCAGCACAAAUAUUUGCCUUGGUGCUUUCUGCAUUAAUCUGCUAUACUGCACUCCAAGAAGCCUAGAUGUCUACAACCCUCCUG
Chelonia mydas (Green sea turtle) is the source of this 151-nucleotide long non-coding RNA. RefSeq lists it as uncharacterized. Lineage: Eukaryota; Metazoa; Chordata; Testudines; Cheloniidae. The transcript is spliced from 3 exons. The record is from RefSeq and is a predicted model, not a curated record.